Molecule: long non-coding RNA, 26253 nt
Filed under: Triticum aestivum (bread wheat)
Lineage: Eukaryota; Viridiplantae; Streptophyta; Magnoliopsida; Poales; Poaceae
Description: long non-coding RNA (TAES_LNC024555)
Rfam family: MIR1120/MIR1122 microRNA precursor family (bases 17120-17255)
Source: RNAcentral
GGCGCCAUGGAGGGGAAGAGUUCCGCGAAGAAGAAGGCAAGGACGGCAGUGCCGGCGACGGCCAGCCUCCUGACGGACGACCUCAUCUUGGAGAUCCUCUCCCGCCUCCCCGCCAGGUCCGUCCACCGCUUCAAGUGCGUCUCCCCGGCCUGGCGCGACCUCAUCGCCGACCCCGCCCACCGCAAGAAGCUGCCCCAACCCCUCGCCGGUUUCCUAUACAACACCUACCACAGGCCGGACCCCCGCUUCUACAACUUUCACUUCGCCAAAGUCUCCGGCGCCGCAGCCCCGCCGGUCGACCCGUCCCUCUCUUUCCUGCCUUCCGACGAGUACUGGUACGUAGACCAGCUGGACACCUGCAACGGCCUCCUCCUCUGCCGCGCCCACAUGUUGCCUUCUUCUCCUUCCGGGGACAAGAAUACGCGGGUUGAAUCCCAUUACAUCGUGUGCAAUCCGGCCACCGGGAGGUGGGUCGACCUCCCCCCUCACCCCGAGGUGCCACCCGGCGGUCGCAUCUUCGCUCGCUUGGCUUUUGAUCCAGCAGCCUCGUCCCAUUUCCACGUUCUUCAGUUUAAGGACAGCCAGCAGAAGGAAUACGUCACAGGAGUGAACAUCUACUCCUCUCAAACCGGGGCAUGGAUUUGUAGAGAAAGCCGCUUGGUUGAGAAAAUUAGCCUGUUCACUGGCCUCGCAAGUGUCUUCUUUCACGGUAUGCUGCACUUGCUUGGUUUAUUGUAUCCCAUGAACAUGGAGGAUGAUGCUGUGCUGGUAGCCGUGGACAUGGAAGGCCAGGUGUGGAACACUAUCCGUGUGCCGUCUGGUGGUUUGAGUUUCGGUAGAAUUGGAUUGUCACAGGGGUGCUUGCACUAUGCUGCCACACCGCUAGCUACUGACGACAAGAAGAAGAAGGAGAGGAAGAAGAAAAAGAAUGAUACAUCGACAGUCUGGUGCAUGAAGGAUUAUGAUAGUAAAGAGUGGGUCUUGAAGCAUAGUGUCAGCAAGGAUGAGCUGCGGAGCAUAACUGGUGUGGACUAUAAAGUGGCUGCUUUUCAUCCAGACCGUGAAACCAUUUUUUUGGAUUCAUAUGAUGUUGAUACAUUGGUGUCAUAUGAUAUGCAGCAUCGGAAAUUCCAUCAAAUCCGUAGUCUUCGGGAAAACAGGGCAACACUAUUUGUACCCUAUGUUCCAUUGUUCUCAGACUCAUUUGCAGGUGCAGAUGGACAGUAGUGUUACCUAUAAGUCAAGCUUGUGCUUCUUCUAAGAAUUUGCUCUUCUGUAGGCGCUGAACUAUUUUUGUCUGUUGAUCUCUGAAUUUGCUUAAGUUAUGUCAUUUAACUUGUGUGCUCCUGCUAGCUUGAUUUUCUGUUUGGAAAAACAUGGUUACUAUUCUUGUCGCUGAAUUAUUCAAUUUACUGGUGCUUGUGUCCUAUUGUCUGGAUACGAAUUAGUUUCAUGUCGCAAAGUUAUUCUGAAAUCUGGUUCUCGUGUUCAAGACACUAAGGAUCUUGUGUCCUAAAUCCUAAGAUUACUACUCGCUCCGUUUCUAAAUAUAAGUCUUUUUAGAGAUUCCAAUAAGGGACUACAUACGGAGCAAAAUGCACUCUAAAAUAUGUCUAUAUACAUCCAUAUGUAGUUUGUAUUAAAAUCUCUAAAAAGACUUAUAUUUAGAAACGGAGGGAGUACAUUAUUAGUGAGGGUUGUUGGUAAACUUUUUACUGUACUGAGAGUCUCUAUCAGAUUGUUGCAAUGUCUAUUUGAUUCUAGCCCUCAGGAUUUCGGUGAUGCAUUCCCAGUGAGCAAAGUUCUUUUUAUCUACUACUUGUCCUGUAGCUAAUGAAUUCAUAAUGCUGUGGCUUAACUUCUGCUACUCCCUCCAAUCCAAAUUAAUUGUCGCAGCUCUAGUACAACUUGUACUAAAGUUGUACUCCCUUAGUGAUCUAAAUGAUCUUAUAUUAGUUUACAGCGGGAGUACUAAUUUGGAUCGGAGGGAGUACCUAAUUUGUUAACCCAACUGAAUACUUGCAUCAAUGAUGAAAGAAAACGUGCAGAUGUGCAGUAGUGUUUCACACCUUUCGUAAUGAAAUCUUUUCUUGCUGGGUGAGAAAAACAAGAAAUGCUUAUUUCUUCCCUGUGUUCCUCUUUUCUGGGAGUCUCCUAAAUGAUGACAUUCAAUCUGCUUGUGCUUACACUGCCGCUAGAUUGAUUGUUUGUUCGGAGCAAUGCCUGGCAUACCUACAGAUUAAUCAUAUCGAUGUGUGCAGCUUAGUUUACUGAAAGUCUCAAUAAGAAUGUUUCAACGUGAGUAUAUUUGAUCUUAGUCCUAAGUGGUAUUGCACUGCAUCGAACAAGUUCCUCUUAUCUAAGCUAAUGAAUUCUGGCGAACCCAGUCUGAAUUUCUAUCACUACACCAUAUAAUUACACCAUGGUUUAUUCAGUUUCUGACCUGAGUAAAUCUAUUGAACUAUGUCCCACAAUUUCCCCAUGUUUCCUGUCAUUUUCUAGACAUCUGUGAUGUUUCUUUGGAAACUACAUUCCCGUUACAGUAUUACCCAAUCCUCGUAGAAUUAUUUUUUGCUCCUACAUGUUUUCCAUAUCACACGAACUCACAAACACACCGAAAAAGAAAAAAUUAUUUCCUACAACUUAGUAGUGAAUUGGUUCAUAUACAUAGUCCGUCAGUUAUCGAAACCAUUUCCUUUACUCCUGUUUUCCAGCAGCUUGAACUGAAAUAGGGACAUUGCAGUGUACAUUCAUCGAUCGUGUCACCAUAAUCACAGCAAAGCAAUGUGAUCUGAGAAACUUUACCACGCUGAUGGUCCGUGAAACCUCUGCGGUUAAUUUGUUGCUCUAUUCGUUCAGAUGUGUUCUCUGAAGGUUGUUUGUUCCAGUAUACUCCAACAUGUACACACGGCUCCCUCCACGGCCGGACAACUGACACGAUGCCAACCAUUAGGCACGGCGACGGUAAGACGACGCUGUACCGGCCGGCGGACGGUGCACGUCGAUGGAACAUGUGCUUCACCAUCGUCUACUCAUUUGUGAGCAAGGUCAUUGCCUUGGUCGACCAACUUUGGGGUGGUCCGGAAGCUUGUGAGGUCAUGUCUCCCCGAGUCUGUCUCGCAUGAUCUGGGAUGGUCGUCCACCCCUCUUCAUCGUCUUCCUCUACAGGAUGGCGGUUUGUUACCGAGAUUUUUGUCGCCGACAUCUUCUGACUCUCAUAGAUGACUUCUCGGCUGCUGCACCAACAACAUUUCCCUGGCCUUGAGGCUAUUUUCAGAGUUCCAUGGGUGGCAUUGAGCCUGCUUCGCUCAGGGCGCACCGCCAGUGGGUGUAGGAGUAGGAUGACGUUAAUUUAUCCAAGGACCGGUAUGUAAUUUUAUUUUUUUAAGGACGACCUUGUAAGGAUUGACUGAUUUCCUUAAUAAAGAUAUUCAGAUGACAUCUUUAGUAUAUAUGUCAUUUGGCAAAAUUAAAUAAACACGGUGAAGAUAAACGAGUGAGCAAUCUGGUUUCAAGUUUCACGUCCUAUAGACAAAUUCUUAUAGGGAAUGGAAGACAAAGUUUUUUUAGGCUUUUUUUAGACAUAUUUUCUUUUAAAAAAGUUAGGCGAAGACAAAGUUUGUUGCGCUGUACAGAGGUGAAGUUUUUUUUUCCAGAAACUGUACAGAAGUAAAUUCUUUUUUUGAGACAUGCACAAAAGUUUUUUUUUCUGAGAAAAGAGACAUGUGCAGAAGUGAAGUGGAGGGGCCAACAUUUUUGUUUUGAGGGAGGGGCUGACAUUUUUUUCUUGAGACAAGAGGGAGGGGCUGACAUGGCCAUGGAAGAUACUAGUAUAAUGUAAAACACGGCCCAGUAUUUCCCUGCUAAUGCUUUUGCGGCCCAACAUUACCCACCAUCCAUCCACUGCUACAGUAACAUUUCCCCAAUCGGUGGGUUACCGAACCCCCGUCGCCGCCUACGCCGCCGCCGCCGUCGCGUCCGACGAACAAUCGCAUCCUACGCCGCCGCCUCAAGCCAAGGUAUUUCUCUUCACGCGCACGGGAAAACCGUCUGCCACCCCAUCAAUUCGUCCUUCUAACCCAGAUUGAUGAAUCCCUUGUUCCUUUAAGCGUCACCAUGGAGGAGAAGAGCUCUCGGCACAAGAAGGCAAGGGCGACCAACCCUCCGGCGUCGGCGCAGGAGGCAGUUCCGGUGGCGGAGGCGGCCAGCCUCCUGACGGACGACCUCAUCGUGGAGAUCCUCUCCCACCUCCCCGCCAGGUCCGUCCACCGCUUCAAGUGCGUCUCGCCGUCCUGGCGCGCCCUCAUCACGGACCCCGCCAACCGCAAGAAGCUGCCCCAGGCCCUCGCCGGCUUCCUCUACAGCACCUUCCACAGGAGAGACCCCCACUUCCAUGAAUUCCACUUCGCCAACAUCUCCAACAGCCCAUCCCCGCCGGUUGACCCGCUCCUCCCUUUCUUGCCAUCCGACAAGUACCUGUACGUCAACCAGCUGGACACCUGCAAUGGCCUCCUCCUCUGCCGCGUCCACAUGGCCCCUUCUUCUCCUUCCGGGGACGAGAAUACGCCGGUUGAAUCCCAUUACAUCGUGUGCAAUCCGGCCACCGGGAGGUGGGUCGACCUCCCCCCUCACCCUGAGGCGCCUCCUGACAGCUUCGUCUUCGCUCGUUUGGCUUUUGAUCCAGCAGUCUCCUCCCAUUUCCGUGUUCUUCAAUUUGAGAACAGCGAUCUGAAGAAAUACGUCACAGGAGUCAACAUAUACUCUUCGCAAACUGGAGCCUGGAAUCAUAGAGAAAGUCGCUUGUUUGAGAAAAUUACCCUCUUCGCCGGCCUUUCCGGUGUCUUCUUUCACGGUAUGCUACACUUGCUUGGUUGGCUGCACCACCCCCUGUACAUGGACGAAAAUUUUGUGCUGGUAGCAGUGGACGUGGAGGGGCAGGUGUGGAAGACUACCCGUUUGCCUUCACGUGGUUUGGGUUUUGGUAGAAUUGGAUUGUCACAGGGGUGCUUGCACUAUGCUAGCAAAGUCCUACCUACUGUUGACAAUAACAAGAAGAAGAAGAAGAAAAAGGAGGAGGAUACAUCUCUAGCUGCCGAGAUAGCAGCAGUCUGGUGCAUGAAGGAUUAUGAUAGUAAGGAAUGGAUUUUGAAGCAUAGUGUCACCAUUGCUGAGUUAUGGAGCAUAACUUCGGCAGAGUUCGAUGUUGCUGCUAUUCAUCCAGACCGCGGCAGCAUUUUCUUGUAUUCAUAUGAUGAUGAUACAUUGGCAUCAUACGAUAUGCAACAUCGACUUCAUCGUAUCCUUCAUCUCGAGGAAAACAACACAGCAAUAUUUCUACCCUAUGUUCCACUCUUCUCAGACUCAUUUGCAGGUGCAGAUGGGCAGUAGUGUUACCUAGGAGUCAAGUUUGUGUUUCCUUCAAGAAUGGGAUCUUCUUUAGGCUAAACUAUUUGUCUGUUGGAUUUUUGAAUCGACUUAAAUUAUGUCAUUCGAUUUGCUGGUGGUUAUGUGCUCCUUUGAGCUUGAUUUUUCUGUUUGCAGCAAUCCUUGGUAACCUUAGAGAUUAAGCAUAUUGCAGUUUUCAAAGAAGAUUGUUAAGCUAUUGUCCUAGGUACAAAUUAGUUUCAUGUGGCUAAAGUAUUCUAAAAUCUGGUUUUCAUAGCCAUGAUAUGUAAGGAUUAUGUGACCUAAAUCCUAAUAUUACUUAGUGUAAUUUGUGUAUUUAUUGGAAGUCUCAAUCUCAGACUGUUGCAAAGCCUAUUUGAUGUUAGUCCUCAAGAUCUGGGUGAGGUGCUGCCACUGCAAUUUUUUCUAUCUGGGUGAACUGAAAAAUUGCUUUUGUUCGACAAAAGAAAAGGCCAGCUUUCCUAAAAAGCUUUCUUGCUGGGUGAGAAAAACAAGACAUGGCUAUUUGUACCCUCUGCUCCUCUGUUCUGGGAGUCAUUAGCUGGUGCUUACACCCCAACUAGCUUGAUUGUUUGUUCGGAGCAAUGUGUGGUAUCCCAACAGAUAUGCCCUGGACACGAAUUUUCUCCAUGUGGCUAGAUUAUAAUGUAAUCUGGCUUUAUUGGCCAUAAUAUUUGAGGAAUAUUAGUGGGUGCAGCUUGUUGUCACGCCCCAGGCACAUACAUAUGAUGAGCAAUCAGAUCAAUACCGAUUUCGGUUACAAGAGAAGGAAUUUGAGGUGAGAAUCAGCAACAAGGGGUGAGAUACACGAAGCAGGAAGGUGAGGAACAGGAGCAAGAGGAUGAGGAUGAGAGGCUUCAAGACGUUUCAAUGGUUGGCUGCCCUUCUGUGUUGCGUCUCUCCUUAUAUAGACAUUGCUUCAGAUCCUUGCAGCUAGGCCCAGCCCAUUUCACGGAGGAAGACCCGCCAAGAGUAAAAGGGGCAUGGCCCCAGGGGCAUGACACUUGUCAACGUGUUAGUGUACUGAAUGUCUCAAUCGUACUGUCGCAAUGUCUAUUUGAUCUUAGUCCUCAGGCUGGUCAUAGUGGGAGUAACUUAGAUAGUAUCAUAGCGCACUUCAAGAAAAUUUUGCUUAUGUGGCAUUUAGUUAAUAAGGAGAGAGGUGUUUAGAGUAACAUAAUAUGUUACUGUAACAUAGUGCUUCCCGAGAAAGUAUGAGUCUACAAGCUAAUAAAUGAAGCCAUCUAUGACACUACUAUUAUGUUAUUUUGCACUAUGAAAUUAGUAAUUUAGACUAGUGUCAUAUGCAUGACACUAAUAUAAGUUACUCCCCACUAUGACCAGCCUCAGCGGCAUGCGCUGCAUCCUGCAUCGAACAAGUUCCUUUUAUCUAUUUUUCAUGUUACUGAUGAAUUCUGUUGAAUCCAGUUGAACUUGGUUCCACAGCUAACCUGCUACAGAGGAUCAAGUGGUUUUGAUACAGUACUCCCUUCAAUCAUAAUAAGUGUCGCAGUUUUGAACUAAGGUUGAACUAACAUUAGUUCAAAACUGAGACAUUUAUUUUGAAUCGGAGGGACUAUUAUUUUUGCUACAUAUCAGGUGAUAAGCCAAAGGUAAAUAUCAUGUAAUCUUGUGUGUGGUUCACGAAUGAGAAAGGGAUUUCGGCAGGUGCCAGCAUAGGACUGGGCAUUUCCUGCUAGAAAGAUUAAUCAUAUCGGUGGGUGCAGCUUAGUUUACUGAAAGUCUCAAUAAGAAUGUUGCAAUGUGAGUAUAUUUCAUCUUAAUCCUAAGCGGUAAUGUACUGCAUCAAACAAGUUCCUCUUAUCUAAGCUAAUGAAUUCUGGUGAAUCCAGUCUGAAUUUCUAUCACAACACCAUAUAAUUACACCAUGGUUUAUUCAGUUUCUGACCUGAAUAAAUCUAUUGAACUAUGUCCCACAAUUUCCCCAUGUUUCCUGUCAUUUUCUAGACAACUGUGAUGUUUCUUCGGAAACUACAUUCCUACAUUCCCGUUAACAAUAUUACCCAAUCCCCAUGGACAACAGUAGUAACUCGUAGAAUUAUCUUUUGCUCCUACAUGUUCUCCAUAUCACGCGAACUCAUAAGCACACCGAAAAAGAAGAAUUUAUUCCCUGCAACUUAUUGCUGAAUUGGUUCAUAUACAUAGUCCGCCGGUUAUCGAAACCAUUUCCUUUACUCCUAUUUUCAUGUAUGGGCCUAAGGACCAUCUAUAAUUCAACAUCGUGUCCUCAUAUUUGGUUUUGGNNNNNNNNNNNNNNNNNNNNNNNNNNNNNNNNNNNNNNNNNNNNNNNNNNNNNNNNNNNNNNNNNNNNNNNNNNNNNNNNNNNNNNNNNNNNNNNNNNNNNNNNNNNNNNNNNNNNNNNNNNNNNNNNNNNNNNNNNNNNNNNNNNNNNNNNNNNNNNNNNNNNNNNGGAGGUUAGUCUCAGUGGCAUUGUCCGACGGAGCAAAUGGCGCGAUUGUGCAUCUUUGUUCUCCAACUCCAGUUUUGAACGGCAAAAGGCUGGCUAGUAUCGGCCUCGUCAGGGAGCGUGUGAAAGUUGUGUUCCUAGAUUCCGUCUAGCUGGACCUGGAGCGUUAUUCAUGCCCUAUGUGAUGCGUUUUUUCUUCUCCUGGGCGACAAUGUGCUAUGUAGUUCACGGUUGUCGGCAUCUUCUGGUCUACAUAUGUGACUUCCCGGACAUUGUUACUACAAACUUCUGGGUAUCAACAAUGUGCUAUGUAGUCCACGGUUGUCGGCAUCUUCUGGUCUACAUCUGUGACUUCCUGGACAUUGUUACUACAAACUUCUGGGUAUCAACAAGUUGGCUCUGCUAAGAUGGAGGUCGAGAGGAGGCGACGAGCUUUGCUCACGACACGGCAGCGAUGGAUGCAGGAGGAUUUAGACUUUGGCACCCCCAAGGAUUUUUGAUGCAUUUUUAAUUUCUAUAAGGAUAUCUUUAUAAGGUUUGUGCUACCUAAUAUGUAGCCAUUAGCCUCUAAGUAAAAGAACAACAUGAAUGAUUAGUUCCGAGGAAGGUAUUUAACAUACAUAGUGAAGUUUGCCUUCUCGCACUGAUUUUUUUGCACCAUACAUCCAUUACAUACGGCUCUUUCUCCAAGCCCCUCCCUCUCCAGAAACCCUAUCCACCUUGGCUCCACCGUUCCCUGUCGGCUUGGCCACGAGUUCUCUCAUCCUCCGCCUGGUGCUCCAACGGUGGGAGGAGGUGGGGAUCCCGGAGUUGUAUUGCGGCCUUGUAGCUAGGUCUCUUAGAAUAAGAGUUUCAUUCCCCGACGAUGGCCUUGUGGUGAUGAUGGUGUCAUGUGGAUCAAGAAUAAGGUUGCCCCAACUCCUCGUCCACCACGUCGACGACAUAGAUGAGGGCGGGGGCAUUUGGUUGCUUCUCUUAUGAAUUAGUAACUGGUGGUGUCUUCGCAUUAUGUUGAAAGGUGUCUUUGGGCGGAGUGGACAAUGCCGCUUCAUGUCUUCGUCCUCUGGCUCCUCGGGUGACAUUCGACCAACUUCGAGGUAGUCCGGAAGCUUGUGAGGUCUUGUCUCCCCGAGUUUGUCUGGCAUGGUUUGGGGUGGUCGUCCACCCCUCUUCAUCGUCUUCUUCUCCGGGAUGGCGAUAUGUUACUGAGAUUUUUGUCGCCGGCAUCUUCUGACUCUGAAAGAUGACUUCUCGACUGCUGCAACAACAACGUUUCCCUGGCUCCGAGGCUAUUUUGGAGUUCCACAGGUGGCAUUGAGCUUGGCUCACGGCGCACCGCCAGUGAGUGCAAGAGUAAGACGACGUUAAUUUACUCGAGGACCGGUAUGCAAUUUUUAAUUUCUUUAAGGAUGACCUUAUAAGGGUUGACUGGUUUUUUUAAUAAAGAUAUUCAGAUGACAUCUUUAAUGUAUGUCAUUUGGCAAAAUUUAAAAAACACGGUGAAGAUAAACGAGCGAGCAAUCGGGUUUCAAGUUUUGCGUCUUGUAGACAAAUUCAUGUUUUCUUAUAGGGAUGCAAGACAAAUAUUUUUAGGCUAUUUGUAGACAUAUUUUCUUUAGAAACAAGUUAGGUGAAGACAAAAUUUGUUUCUUUAGGCAAAGACCAAGUUUGUUACGUUGUACAAAAGUGAAGUUUUUUUUUUUUUAGAAAUUGUACAGAAGUGAUGUUUUUUAUAACUACUCCCUCCGUUCCUAAAUAUUUGUCUUUCUAGAUAUUUCAAUAAGUGGCUACAUACGGAGCAAAAUGAGUGAAUCUACACUCUAAAAUAUGUCUACAUACAUCCGUAUGUGAUAGUUUAUUUGAAAUAUUUAGAAAGACAAAUAUUUAGGAACGGAGGGAGUAGUACAUAAGUUUUUUUUGAGGGGCCACCAUCUUUUUUGAGACAAAAAUAUAAUAAUAAAAUGUUGGCCCCUCAAAAUAAAAAUAACAAUGAGGGGCCAACAUGGUCAUGGAAGAUGAGUACUAAUGUAGAACACGGCCCAGUAUUUCACUGCUAAUGCUUUUGCGGCCCAACAUUACCCACUGGCCACUACCCCCAUUGCGCUACAGUAACAUUUCCCCAAUCGGUGGGUUACGGAACCCCCGUCGCCGCCUACGCCGCCGCCGUCGCGUCCGACGAACAAUCGCACCCUACGCCGCCGCCUCAAGCCAAGGUAUUUCACUUCACGCGCACUGGAAAACCUUCUGCUCCCCCAUCAAUUCGUCCUUCUAGCCCAGAUUGAUGAAUCCAUUGUGAAUCCCUUGUUCCUUUAAGCGGCGCCAUGGAGGAGAAGAGCUCUGGGCACAAGAAGGCAAGGGCGACCAACCCUCCGGCGUCGGCGCAGGAGAUGGCGGCGGCGGCCAGCCCCCUCACGGAUGACCUCAUCGUGGAGAUCCUGUCCCGCCUCCCCGCCAGGUCCGUCCACCGCUUCAAGUGCGUCUCGCCGUCCUGGCGCGCCCUCAUCGCGGACCCGGCCAACCGCAAGAAGCUGCCCCAGACCCUCGCCGGCUUCCUCUACAGCACCUACCACUGGGCAGAUCCUCGCUUCCAAAAGUUUCAUUUGGCCAACGUCUCCGUCGGCGCAGCCCCGCCGGUCGACCUGUCCCUCUCUUUCCUGCCACCCGACAAGUACUUGUACGUCGACCAGCUGGACGCCUGCAAUGGCCUUCUCCUCUGCCUCUGCUACAUGGCCCCUUCUUCUCCUUCAACGGACAAGCGUACGCCGCUUGAAUCUCAUUUCAUCGUGUGCAAUCCGGCCACCAAGAGGUGGGUCGAUCUGCCCCCUCACGCCAAGGUGCCAAAUGGCCAUCGCGGUGUAGCUCGUUUGGGUUUUGAUCCAGCAGUAUCGUCCCAUUUCCAUGUUCUUCAGUUUGAGAAGACCGAUCAGGAGGAUUGCGUCACAGGAGUGAACAUCUACUCUUCGCAAACUGGAGCUUGGAAGCGUAGACAAAGCCGCUUGGUUGAGAAAAUUACCCUGUACGCUGGCCUUGCAAGUGUCUUCUUUCACGGUAUGCUGCACUUGCUUGGUAUGCUGAAACCCAUGAAGUUGGACGACGAUGCUGUGCUGGUAGCAGUGGACAUGGAGGGGCAGGUGUGGAAGGCUAUCCGUGUGCCGUCAGGUGGUUUGAGUUUUGGUACGAUUGGAUUGUCACAGGGGUGCUUGCACUAUGCUACCACACCCCUAGGUAUUGUUGACAAGAACAAGAAGGAGGAUACAUCCCUAGCUACCAAGAUAGCAUCAGUCUGGUGCAUGGAAGAUUAUGAUAGUAAAGAAUGGGUCUUGAAGCAUAGUGUCAGCAAUGAUGAGUUAGGAAGCAAAACUAGGGCGGAGUACAAGGUGACUGCUAUUCAUCCAGACCGUGACACUAUUUUCCUGGAUUCAUGUGAUGUUGAUACAUUGGCAUCUUAUGAUAUGCAACAUCGGGAAUUCUGUCGUAUCCUUAAUCUUAAGAAAGACAGAGCACCACUGUUUGUACCCUAUGUUCCACUAUUCUCAGACUCAUUAGCAGGUGCAGAUGGUCAGUAGUGUCAGCUCAAGUAGCCGCUAAACUCAAGCUUGUGCUUCUUCAAGGAAUUGGCUCAUCUUCUGUAGGCUGGACUAUUUGUCUGUUAAUUUCUGAAUCUACUUAAAUUAUAUCCUCAAUUUGCUGGCGCGUAUACUCCUGCUAGCUUGAUUUUCUGUUCGGAGCAAUCCCUAGUGACCUCAGAGGUUAAGCAUAUUGCAGUCCCAAAGAACAUGGUUACUGUUUUUCUUGUUUGUCCUAGAUACAAAUUAGUUUCAUGUGGCUAAAUUAUUCUGAAAUAUGGUUUUCUUGGCCAUAAUAUUUAAGGCUUAUGUGCGCCAAGUCCUAAUAUGGCGACUGUGGUCUGAUUUGUUUUUAGUAUAUUGUCCUCAAGAUUUCGGUGACUCAUUGCCAUUGAGCAAGUUCUUCUGAUCUACUUUUGCUAUAGCUAAUGAAUUCAGUCUGCCGCAGUUCAACUUGUGCAAGCUAACCUGUUAAGCUGAGAGACUGAAAUAUUGCACCGGUGACGAAAGAAAACACCAGCUUUCCUACAAAGUUUUCUUGCUGGGUGAGAAAAACGAGAAAAUUAUGUCCGUUGAGAAAAACACCCGCUACACCUGAGACUGAACAGUUUGUCUGUUGAUUUCUGAAUCGACUUAAAGUAUGUCAUCCAAUUUGCUGGUGCUCAUGCUCCUGGUAGCUUGAUUUUCCGUUUGGAACAAUCCCUGGUAACCUUAGAGAUUAAGCAUAUUGCAAUCUUCAACGAACAUGGUUACUUUUUCUACUUGUUUGUGUAGCUAUUGUCCUAGAUACGAAGUAGUUUCAUGUGGUCAAUAUUUAAGGAUAUUUAAGGAUUAUUGGUUUUCUUGGCCAUAAUAUUUAUUAAGGAUUAUGUGCCUUAAGUGAUAAUAUGGUGGUGAGUGUAGGCUGAACUUUUUAGUGUAUUGGAAGUCUCAAUCAGGCUGCCAUAAUGCCUAUUUGAUGUUAGUUCUCAAGAUUUCGGCGACUCAUUACCAUUGAGCAAGUAUACAUAUUAUCUACUUUUGCUGUAGCCAAUGAAUUCAGGCUGCUACAGUUGAAGUUCUUAAAGCUAAGCUGUGAACCAGCUUUCCUAAAAGUUUUCUUGAAGCUGGGUGAGAAAAACGAGUAAAUGGCAAGGCAAAAUUAUUUGUGUGUUGAUUUCUGAAUCAACUUAAAUAGUGCCAUUCAAUCUGCUAGUGCUUACACUCCCUCUAGUUUGAUUCCUUUUUUUCCGGAGCAAUGCCUACAGAUUAAGCAUAUUGUAAUUGCGAAGAUAACACCAUUAGUAUUGUUGUUUGUCUAGCUAUUGCCCUGGCACGAAUUUGUUCCAUGUGGCUAAAUUAUGCUGCUGCAAUCUGGCUUUCUUGGUCAUAACGUUUAAGGAAUGCGAUUGUUGUAAACGCUGGUACUAGUGAGUGCAGUGUAGUACUGUAAACGUGUUUGGUGUACUGAGUACUUCAAGUCUCAAUCAGACUGUUGCAACUCCUAUUUGAUCUUGGUCCUCAGCGGUAAAGCACUGAAGUGAACUAGUUCCUUUUAUCUAUUUUUUCUGUAGCUGAUGAAUUCUGAUGAAUCUAUGUGAGCUUUUGGUUCCACAGCCUAACCUGCUGCAGAGAAUCAGGUGGUCUUGGUACUACAUUAAUACUUACUCCCUCUGUUAGCUUGCAAAAACGUCUUAUAUCAUGGGACAGAGGGAGUAGCUCACUAAUCAUCAUCACUGUACAGUAGUGUUACUAUGUUUCAGCAUAACUGCAGCAAAGCACCGAACCGAGAAGCUUUACCUCGCUGAUGCAUGUUGGUGUCUCGGCUUGUCUGUUGGUUCCAUUUGGUCCGGCGACCAAAGGAAACAAUCGCAUCAGGUUUGUACUCCCUCUAUUCCAUAAUAUAAAAGCGUUUUUUACACUAUACUAGUGUCAAAAACGCUUUUAUAUUAUGGGACGGAAAAAGUAUUUGCUUAACCAUACCAACAUGUUAACAUCCAAGGGUCAUUUUUCUGGCUUCUUAACCUCCAUAUCAAUACGGUACAUUGAAAAGGUUCUCAAACUUUGUUGCAACGAGCUCUUUCAUGAGAUACACAAAAACCCACUUCACCCACUACUUGUUUUUUGAAUUGUUUGGAUCGCUUACCACUUAUGUCACAUGGUAAAAUGUCAACGGAACCGCUUCACCCGCUACUUCAUGUACUCCAUAUGUAUUAUCAAGCCAAGUGGACCAGCCAAACACUUCCGGCCGUUUUUUCCGCCAUCUGCAUUUUCACAACACAGAGCACCAUGGCCGUGCAUAUUCCUAAGUGAGAUCGCGCAACUCUCGAACCGUCGUGGGUUGCCCAGCCCAGGACUAGUUUCAGCUUAGGCCCAUUUGGAUUAGCGUUUUUGCUCGUUUCUGGCCGGUUUAAGAUACCGGCCUUGUCCCGUCGUUCUCAUUUCUGACAGAAAUCAUGUGUUGACCAGUAAUUUACACAUGUAAAAAUAAAUACAAAUGUGUAAACUUAUACCCAUUCCAAGCGGGCCCUUAAGAUGUACCGUAUACAUUAGGCCUGGCGUUGGGGAGGCUGCCGAUGACGCCACGCCAAAGAGCUUCUAUUCCACGCCNNNNNNNNNNNNNNNNNNNNNNNNNNNNNNNNNNNNNNNNNNNNNNNNNNNNNNNNNNNNNNNNNNNNNNNNNNNNNNNNNNNNNNNNNNNNNNNNNNNNNNNNNNNNNNNNNNNNNNNNNNNNNNNNNNNNNNNNNNNNNNNNNNNNNNNNNNNNNNNNNNNNNNNNNNNNNNNNNNNNNNNNNNNNNUUCUAUGUGUGCAACUGUCUGUACUAGUUUUUCUCUUAAAAGAUCAAGUGGAUGUACUACUACGUGUCUGUGCUUUUCUCCAUUGCAUUGUUUUGCAUUCCGUUUUAUUAGCGUUCAACAUCUAUUUGAAAAAUAUUUAGUCGCCACCUUAAAAAAAUGUUUGGUACCAAUCAAAAAAUGUAUGUUACAUUCAAAAAUGUUUGUAUAAAUGAAAAAAAAAAUGUUUCGUACCAUUCAUAACAAUGUAGGUGAUGUUUUAAAGAAACAAUCUUGCGUUUCAGAAAAAUGUUCGUUGCAUUUACAAAAUAGUAUUUAUACAAUGUAAAAAAAUGUUCACAUAGUUUUGCAAAAAUGUUUUCAGCCAUUAAAAACAUGUUCAACAUGCAUUUGAUUUCUUUUAAUAUGUAUUUGAAAAACUUGUUCAAAACAUGUUGUAUUUGAAAAAGUACAUUCAUGUAUUGAAAAAUGUUCAACAUGUAUCAAUAAAUAUUUCGCAUGUACACUAAAAUUUACAAUGCGUACUGUAAAAAUAAAAAUGAAAAAUAAAAACUCAAAGAAAACCCAUAAAAUGAUAAACAUGUAUAAGAAAAAUAUUUCUAAUCUAUACAAAAAAUUAUAAAAUUUGUAUGAAAAGGUAUAAACCAAAAACAUAUAUUAAAAAUGAUAGUCAUGUACUUAAAAAAUGUUAAACAUUUAUAAGAAAAAUGUUUCUUAUGUAAACGCAAAAUAUACAAUCUAUUUAUGGAUAGAAUGGUACACCCCUUUGAUCUGGAGUGCAAGAUAGGAAUUCAUAAACUAGUCAAUUGUUUUCAUGCAGACACAUUAUUGAGUACCAUUUAUCUUAUGUUUUGACUUAGAAAUGGCGUUGGCUACAAUUCAAUGCACUAAAAUAGAAAGACUUUUGUGCGAAAACAGUACACAAUCAUAUUUCUCAAGUCAAACAUGUUGGUACUAUAGUUUGUAUGUCUAUUUGAUAUUUACACUGUAUAUUAGUACUACCAUAUCAUCGAGCUAAACCAAAUAUUAGUUGAUGCUUGAUAAUAGGGCCAAAUAAUAAAAAUAGUAUCAAAUGUAAAAUUAUAUAGAAAAUAUAGCCGCACAAUUGCGCGGGGCCACUCAACUAGUUAUUUAUUAGAAUAGAAGAAGAUAAACAAGCCAUCACGCUUCUCCACAUAAUUAGUGCCAAAGGCAGUUUUGAAUCGCUAUAUAUUUUUUCCUGUUCCGAAUAAGCUAUACACAGUUAUAAAAGUUUUUCUUUUGCACAUUCACCGACAUCCUGAAAUUUUUAUAAAACUCCAUGGCCGAGAAUUUCUCGAUACUAAUAAUAAAAACCCAAUUCAACAAAAGUGGUAUCUUAAUUAUUAUUUUGCAAUGCUCUGUUCUUUUGAACAGUGAAUUUUAGAAUUUAAGUUAAUUCUUGAUGUGCAAUGGAUUAAUCAGGAUAGUUUUGCACAAUAGCUAUACACAACUGUAUUAUUUGGUUUUGCACAUUCAUCAUCGUCAUGAUUAUUUUUAUAAAUCUUCAUGGCCUCAAAAUCCUCGAUGUUAAAACUAGAACCACAAACCAAUGAAAGUGAUAUUAUAACAAAAUAUUAUUACAAUUUUUUGUUCUUUUAGACAAUCAAUAUGUGUAUGAAUAUUAAAAUUAUAAAUUACUAGAAUAGCCUUUGUGUUCCCAUAAGAAGUACACAUCAGGUAUGUAAAUUUCCAAAACUUAAUAGGUUUUGUAACAAACCCCGCAUGAAAUCCUUAAUAACUAACUGUAAAGUAUACUAUCUAUUUAGUAACUAACUCCAAAACAAAGCGUGUGUUUAGAAUUUAUAAUGUCUAUAAAUAACACAACUAUUUAUACAAAUGAAAAUUUUAAUAAUAACUAACAUCAGUAAAUUAUUUUUUUAUGAACUAUGACAGAUGAAUUUUUAAGUAGUCAAUGUCUAAAUAUAUUAUUAUGUUGUUUGUUAGUUAAACAAUAUAUAAUAGAUAAACAAAUUUUAAAUAUGAAUAGAAGAAAUUGAUACAUUUUUUGUAUAUUACUAUAUAAGAUCCAUGAAUAGUGUAUAUCUUGAAUACUUUUGCAUGAAGUAUUGGUCUGCAUACAUAAUUGACAUGCAUGCAUGACUUGAAUAAUAAGAACUAGUAGUUGGGACCGUCAUUACGAGCCACUUGAGAGGAAGUUGUGCUCACAUUUCUCCAUCUUAAAAAAAUCUCAUCUUCAUCUCAAAAUAAAGAACAAACUUUCUCGCAUCCAUCUCAAAGAGAAAAUAAAAAGCCUAGAAAAACUUUUCUCAAAACGGGUAAAAAAAGUCUCAUUUUCAUCUUCUAAAAAUAAUUAAAAAAAUCAAAACAUUCUUACCGCGGCCAACGAGCAUGUGCCACAUGGCAUAGCUGGUUGGCCGCCCUUCUGGUGCAACUUAAUAGGUUUAAAUGUGUCAUGUGUGCGAGUGAGUAUGGCAUAAGAAAGCAAAACUAUGUUGUUUCAACAGCAGUAAAAGUUAGAAGCAACAAAUCAUGUUUAGAACAUAAUUGAAAACUAUAGUUGGGUUCCCACAAAAAAAAUUGGGUUGACUAUUAGAAGUUUUUUGUUGUUGCAAAUAGCANNNNNNNNNNNNNNNNNNNNNNNNNNNNNNNNNNNNNNNNNNNNNNNNNNNNNNNNNNNNNNNNNNNNNNNNNNNNNNNNNNNNNNNNNNNNNNNNNNNNNNNNNNNNNNNNNNNNNNNNNNNNNNNNNNNNNNNNNNNNNNNNNNNNNNNNNNNNNNNNNNNNNNNNNNNNNNNNNNNNNNNNNNNNNNNNNNNNNNNNNNNNNNNNNNNNNNNNNNNNNNNNNNNNNNNNNNNNNNNNNNNNNNNNNNNNNNNNNNNNNNNNCAGCAAGAGAGAAUAUUUAGAGAUGCUAAUACUUUUGAAUCAAGAAUUGUGUCAGAAUACAAAAUGAUACAAUAUAUAAAAAUGUACUCCCUCCGUCCGAAAAUACUUGUCAUCAAAAUGAAUAAAAGGGGAUGUAUCUAGAUGUAUUUUAGUUCUAGAUACACCCCCUUUUUGUCCAUUUUCAUGACAAGUUUUUUCGAACAGAGGGAGUAUAAACUCUAGGCGCGCAAAUGUGUGGGUCACUCUACUAAUUAAGUCAUAAAGAGUCUCAAUAGAAUGAGAGACAUAAACAUCUGCAUACAAAACAUAUGACAGGUCAUAGAUACCAAAGUUCAUCUUUUCUUGUUGCGGAUUGUGAAGAAAAAAACAGGGAGUAGGUUGUGUCGCAUUUGUAUUCAUUGAUAUGACCAAAUACAUAAUAUAACCCUGGUGAGCCUGACUACCCAUAAGUCAAACUGUACUAGUAGUGAUUAUAAGACCCGGGUAGGCACUAGAUACGAAAUGACAAAAGUAUAAGCAGGACGACACAUCAGCAUCAAGGUGCUUCGCAUGGAACAUUUUAUUUACUUCCGGAGGUGUCUAGUUUGGAUUCAUCAGAUCUAGCAGAAACGUAAGUACUGUCAUGUAGUACGGCGGACGGAAGCAAAAGCCAAAUUAGUGAAGAUUCGGAUGCUAGGCCCCUGGUAGAUACGAAGUGAGGAAAAGUACAAGAGUCUUAAUGGGAUGACAGUUAAUACGCAGCAUAGGGUUAAUUAACGUGCACCUAGAUGUGGUGGUCAACAUGCGUUCACUUGUUUGAUGCAGAGAAAUUCGCAGAGGGGACACGCAUUUUUUUUCUCCAUGUUCCGCUCACCGCACUAUGCUUUGAAUUUUUCAUGCCUUUUCAUUUGACUUUUAUUUUUCAAUUUAUUAUAUCUUUUGAAUUAGAAGUUUAAUUUAUGUUUAGUUUGCAUAUUUGUGUUCCUUGUGAUGAGCACUUUGAAACAAGACCACUCUUGAAUACAUUUUAAAAGAUUUUAAAAUGCCAUUUUCAAAUAUUAAAACUUUGUAAGAACAAAGGAUAAUGACAUGGUUUAGUGUUAAUGUUUAGGUUAGGGUUUAGCAAAUUUUUUUUACGAAUUGAGCUUAUUCAUAUGUAACUUGUUAUAACUUGGUGAAACUUGGCAGAAACUUAAUAUUGCGAAUUUGUCGGGGUUUACGUUUAGGGUUUUGUCAAAUUAAAAUUUAGUAUUACGAAUUGAGAUGAUUCCUAUAGGACUUGGUAAAACUUAAUAUUGCAAAUUUGUCAUAAUCCUACGUUCAUAUCAAGUUUUAAUAUUUGAAACUUGAUGAAAUUUAAAAAAUUGUCAAAAUCUAUUAAAGGGUGGUCUUAUUUAAAAUUCAUCAUCACAAGGAGCACAAAUAUGCAAACGAAACAUAAAUUGUAAUUUCAGUUCAAAAGAAAGGACAUGGAAGAGUGGAAGAAUGUCGGACAGAUGGAACAUGCAGUAUCUAACAAAAGCAUGCAUGCAUGGGACCCCCCAAAGUAAUCAAGGGAUACACAAUGCAGGAGCCUAGCCAACUUUUCUGGGUCGCGGCACAGAUCUGUGGCCCACAAAAUGCAUACCCGGAUCGACGCGUGCUGCAAAUCCUCUCUCCUCAUUCUAUGCAUGCAUCUCUAUCGGGCCAGCUUCACUCGUCAUGUGAAAAUCUACCGAAUCGCGGCAAACUUAUAACCAAAGUUGGGUCCCAAACCGCUCCAUGUCGUCUUUACCCUUCACCCACCCAACCAUCAAUCCAACAUCUAUCCGUUUGUCCCCGCGCUCGAUGCUCCCAUCGUGUUACAUCACUAGCCCGGUCGAUCUUAUCCAACCGCUGCUGCCACCGCCAGUCCUAUCGCUUAUCUACCCAUCUCCCUUGAAUCAUGGCAUGCCCUGGACAUCUUUGUUGUCACUGGGAACCCCCUCCCCCUCUCAUGGCCUAAGUCUAAGCUUCGCUCUGAAAUCCAUCCUCGCCUUCGUCAUCAUGCACUACAAAAAAUACACUUCCGUGAUGAUACGUGUUUGUCACUGUAGGUCACGUUUUCAGUCAUGCAUGUACAUCCAUGACGAUUUUAUGACAGAAUCAAGAUAGUCAUACCUGUGCUGUCGUAGAAGUGUUCCAUGACAUUACCAAAAUUAUCAUCACGGAAGUGUCCACUUCCAUGACGAUAAAUCGCGCGUCAUAGAAGUGCUUUCGUCAAGGGUGACCAACACAUGGCAUCCACCGUAACGGCUCGCCGCUAAGCUAUCGGGUCUGGUUUUGGAUCCGAUAACCCGUUAACAGCCCGGACCAAUGGUGAUUUUCCACGUGUAAAAUUCUUAUUGACCGGAGGAAACAUGUGUCUGCUCCUCGGUGGGCCAGAUGUCGCCCGUCCAUUGGAGGAGACAUGCCUAUGAUACAUCAACACGUGGCAGGGCCCAACAGAGGCCCAUAUAGGUUAAAAAGGCCGGCCCAGUUAAAGGCCUGUAGUACUUACUCAGGUACUAGUGGGCCAGCCCAAUAACGACCUGUUUAAUAAAGGCCCAUUUACGGCCCGAAGCCAGAUCUGGCCCGUUAAUUGUUCGCCGAAUAUUUGGGCCCAAUUAGAGCCCAGUGACUUUCGGCCUGUUAGAGCCCCGAUGUAGACAUGGGCCCAUUUCAGCCUGAUGUGUCUUUCGGCCUGGGAAUGGCCCGUGCUGCCUAUGGGCCAUAUAUGGUCCGACGCGACAUCCGGCCCACUGACGGCCCGUGAUAAAGGUGGCAACAGUUCAGCCCAAUGUGACUUUGGGCCUGUUAAAGGCCUGUCAUAUAAUUCGGCCCGUUGAUGCCUGUACUAAGCUUUCGCCCUCUUAAAGGCCCAUGAUAUCAGUGGGCCAGCUAAGGCCCGAGAUAUGUUUCGGCCUGGUAACGGCCUGUCAUAUAACUGGGCCAAAAAAGGUCCGGUCUACAUUUCAGCCUGCUGAAGGCCCGUCGACGACUAGUGAAAAUUGAGGCCCAACAUGCAUUUCGGCCUGCUAAAGGCCCAUGGUUUCUUCUGGGCCGUAACAGGUCAGUAGAAUAUUCAGCCUGUUAAUGGCCCAAUGCUACCUGGGCCAAACUAAGCGCUGGGUCCACAAAAGGACCAACUAAAAUUUGGGCCGAAUAUAGGCCAGAGUAAGUUGUGGGCCUGGCGCAAAGUGUGAAGGCCCCAAUGGCCAUUCGGGCCCAAGAAAGAUACAGACCGACCCAAUUGUGGUCCGCUAAAAACCAGGCCCGUUAGAGGCGAAUGUUUCGGCCCGAUCGACUACAUCAGAUUUUUUCAGAUAGCGAAUGAUGUCAAUUACUAGUAGGAAUUAAGAACAAACCUACUCUAUACAAUAAAGAAAUUACGACAUAGUAACUUAGAAUAAACCUACACUAUACAAUAAAGAAUUUAUGGUAUAUUACAUCCACUAGGCAUCGAAGUUCACCACCAGUGAUCAUAAAGCGCAACGAAGAAGCAGAUUACAAAAACUGGGCACCAUUGCAGCGUAACAAAAUAAUACUGAACCGAGACCACUUCCAAGACAGUUCAAGAAAGGUUAGCCUUGCACGGGAACUGCUGCGCAAGCUGCUGAGCAAGGCUGUGAGACCGGCCUAGCAUGUCGGUCAUAGCUUCCAGGUGUAGCUAUUUAGUAAUGAGAUUCUCAUUGGUGUUCUCUGCAAUCUUUCUUAGAGGUAGGACUUCAAGUCGAAGUUGAGUUGCAGAAUGCCUUUCUGCUAGAACUUGGGACUGAAGAAGUCGAACUGAUUCAGACAGCGAAUUCUGUAAGCUUGUCUGACUGCUAGUCUCAAGUAACUUGAACACUGCAUCAAGACAAGACUUUGGGGUUGUCUCGCUAUCUUCAAGAUGUUUUGCCUUCUUUGCUGCAAUAUAUGUUGGGUUUGUCUCACAGCCUUCAGCAGACUUGUGCAUGCCAUCAGGCAUAUCACCCUGAAACAAGCAGAGAGAUGACGGGUUUUGCACGUGUAUAAACAAAGAUGAUAACUGUGUUGUCAAUUCCAUCCAAUUUCAAAUUAGAAAAUAAAGAGUAAGUUCAAAAUAUCAAUAGCAUAAUUUGGCAUUGUUCAUAAUGCGGGGAGCUUCACCACACUACUGGAUUACCAUGUCAACAUAACAAGCAAAGAUGAAGGGCAAAGACAAUCAUUGUAUCUAUUUUGGUUAAUGUGCAUGGCAUGUUGUUCAUAUCAUCAGCCACAUCAGUAAGAUAAAACAGGAGAUAACAAGGUGCAAACGUGGGCUGCUUCACCACACACUGGAUUAUAGAUCCACAAAAACAAGCAUACAUAUAGGGAGUAUUGAGUAAUGUGCAUGGUAUGAAUAAGGAAUUUGGUUUUACAAGUAAAACUUGGAACUUACGGUUCUUGCGAACAUGCAUUUUGAUAGAAACAGCAAACUAAACAGCAGUAAACGAUAGGGAGUAUGGGCAAAUUAAACAGCAGUUGAGGAUAAAGGCUUUAGAAGGACUGACUUACACUAAUAGUUAACACCGGCUUUAUAAUGCCCUUCUCCAUGUCAAGGGAAGGAUAACUCAAGAAUUUUAGCACAAAAUCUUCUUCAUAAGCAUUCCCUGUACUCUACAUUUUGUAGAGAGUAAUUAUAGAUAUAAUAAUACUGGAAGGGAUAGAGGAUGAUGAAGAUAAGAUGCAGAUUGAUGCUACAUAAUCAACUACCAAUCCCUAGAAGUACAAGCGUUACAGGACAAAAUGUACUGACAAGAGCAAUGGGCUACACUUCUGCACUGGCAUUGUCUGUGUAUUCAACUUUUUGGUAAUAUUAAAUAUAGAUCUGAUAUUUUUUAGUAAAUGGUGGGCGAGGGAGAUAAGAUGCAGCAUGCUACACAAUGAACCAAUCCCUCUUCCCAUAAUACAAGAGUGUUUUGAACACUGGUGUACUAUACAAAACGUUCUUAUAUUAUGGGACGGAGGGAGUAGCUGUUAAUGUAAGUACAGUGAUAGACGACGUUCAGUCCUUACAAAAGGACUGCAGAGCUAAACCUCUUCAAAAGCAUUGGGUUGAUUCUAAAUUUAUGUAGAAGUCCAUACAGAUCUUAUAAUGUCCACCAAAUGGACGAUAACGAGGCUAACAUGUGCAGUGAUGCUACAUAAUCAAACAACUAUGAAAGUAAGUAUGGUCAUACAGGGCUAAGAGGUACUCACAAGAGCAAUGCGGUGUGCAGUAUAGUUGCGAGAUUUUGUGGUCCCUUGAGAAUGAAUGUUCUUCUGCUAACAAUUUUCAUACAAGUGAGACAUUAAGGCAAAUGCAGAAAUGUAGUUCAAAUCGUGAUAUGAUACCAUAGACAGUACCUUACGCUGCAGACGAGACCAAUGUGUAACAAGAUUAUUCCCGUUACUGUUGGAUAAAUGCAGCACCGGAGACUUUACAGAAAUUUUGUUUAGAGGCUUGCCAUCGAAGUGCGCUUGCCUCAGGUAGGAACGAUACUUCAUCAACGAGUGCUUGAAAAGCGCAAUCAACCCUUGCUCGUCUUGACAAUCCAGUUUGGUCCUCACCUAUUUAAAAGAAUGAAAUCAUGUGUCUUCUGUCAGCAGAAACAUAUGUAGUAAUUACCAUGAAUAACAUUAGUACAUUACUUACGCGUAAGUUGCGGAGGAAGACUAGAAAUUGUUCUGUGUCUGCGGUAUAGUCUUUCCAUGAAGGAAAGAUGCGCACAAAGUUCCUGACAACAAUAUAAGCUUCGUCUCUAAACUGGGAAGAAAUGGAACAUGGGUCCUAUUUGCUGCAAUUGGGGCUCUCUCUGGUUCGAAAAGGGAUUUGGCAACUGGAUUUGGUGUACUCUUUGCUGGAAUGGGGGUUUUGCGUCGUAGAGCUGGUGCUAUGUCAACUGGCAUCAUCAUACUGUUUGCUGCAGUUGGGGUCUGCUGAGUUGGGGCAUCAGAAAUGACCAGUGUAGUAGGGCUAGAGUCUGCUAGAGUUGGGGUGUUUUGUGGGUCAGGUGAUAUUGCAACUACACCUAAUGGGCUAUUUGAUUUAUUAGGUGUCACUACCUUUUCCAAAUACUUUGCUCGUGCUCCUUCGCGAUCAGCAAUCGCCCUCUUCCUUUUGAACGUUUGAUACACAAGAACAACAUUUGAAUGGAUAAACAAGGUAUGAUGACAGAUGGAAUAUGUACUGAAAAUGGAUAGGCAGGGCGUAUUCACAUACACGAUGUGUAAACUAAGCUAAUGGAAGUGCAACAAAGUAGAAGCAAUGCAAAGCAUCAGUUGCAAGACAUGUGUGACCAAUAUAACCUUGGAAAGUUAGAGCAAGCACCUUGAUGGGUUAAUAAGAUAGGGCAUCUGCCUCUGAUUCCUCCACUAGGGAGCUACAUUGACUUAGGUCUCUGUCGGGGAUAUACCCCGCGGUACGACCCGACCGGGACUUGGUGUUUCAUUGGUAAGCCGGCAGAUGUUAAAUCAGAUGAUAACCCGGCAGAUGUUAAGUCAGAUGGUAACCCGACAGAUGUUAAGUCAGAUGGUAACCCGACAGAUGUUAAGUCAGAUCAUAACCCGGCAGAUGUUAAGUUAGAUCAUAACCCGGCAGAUGUUAAGUCAGAUCAUAACCCGGUAGAUGUUAAGUCAGAUCAUAACCCGACAGACGUUAAGUCAGAUGGUAAACCGGCAGACAGUAAUAACCCAGCAGACAGAGUCGCCUGGGGUUAAUAAGCCCGAGACAUUAAGAAGCCCAAGAUGUUAAGAAGCCCAUGAAGAGAAGUCAGAAUAGUUUAAGUCUUAGUCCGAGAUGGACUAUACAUGUAACCUGCCCCUUCAACUUAUAUAAGGAGGGGCGGGGCACCCCAAGAGGGAGAAGGAGGGAGAGACAAUCUUAAGGCUAGACAUAACUAGGAGAGCCGGUUUACGGCGACUCCCUCGUGAUGAUAAUGAGACCUAGCCACAAACAACAUGUAGGGUUAUUACCGGAUGAGUUUCCCGGGGCCCGAAGCUGUCUAAAUCCUUGUCUUGUGUGUUGAUCCGCCUCGCGUCUCUCGAUUCCGACCAACCCCUUCAAGCUACCGCGUAGAUGCGUUGGCCUCACGACUAAGUCCUCACACUAGGACAUCUACCGUGACUAUUCCACGACAGUUGGCGCCCACCGUGGGGCCUGCACACGGUGGUGUUGAGUUCUUGGAGGGCGCAAUCCUUGGGAUCGAGAAGCUCCGCCCAGCUUAUUGAAGAAGUUCCGGCCGGCUCGUCGGAGAGUUCCAGCCGGCUCGCCAAAAAAGUUCCGUCAGGCUCAUCGAAAGGUUCCGCUGGCUCAUCGGAAAGUUCUGGCCGGAUCAUUGGAAAGUUCUGACCGCCUCGAUGAAAGGUUCCGUUUGAAUCACCAAAGAGGUUCGAUCGCCUGGACGAAAAGUUCUGUCUGAAUCGCUGAAGGGUUCCAGCCGAAUCGCCGAAGGGUUCCGUCCGAGUCGCCAAAGAGUUCCGAAUUAGGCUCAAAAAGUUCCAGAUUAUCAAAAAGUUCCGGCCGAGUUAUCCAGAGGUUCCGGUUCAAAAAGUUCCGGAUUAUCAAAAAGUUUCGGCCGGGUUAUCCAGAGGUUCCGGCUCAAAAAGUUCCGGAUUGUCAAAAAGUUCCGGCCGGGUUAUCCAGAGGUUCCGGCUCAAAAGUUCCGGGCGGGUUAUCCAGAGGUUCCGGCUCAAAAAGUUCCGGAUUAUUAAAAAGUUUCGGCCAGGUUAUCCAGAGGUUCCGGCUCAAAAAAAGUUCCAGAUUAUCAAAACGUUCUCGCCAGUUUAUCCAGAGGUUCCGGUUCAAAAAAAAGUUCUGGCUCAUCAAAAAGUUCCGUCCAGAUUAUCCAGAGGUUCUGGAUCAAAAAGUUCCAGAUUAUCAAAAAGUUCCGGCCGGGUUAUCCAGAGGUUCCAGAUCAAAAAGUUCCAGAUUAUAAAAAAGUUCCGGUUCAGGGUCAUCUAUUAUUACUGGCAGUAGUAAUAUGCCCAUCCACGACUGGCUUUCAGAUGCAUCAUGUGAUAUUUGUCCAACUUUAUUUUAUUAACAUAUAUUGUUUUUGUCAAAGAACAAUUUAUCUUUGCCUUGGUCUGCAAUAUUGUUUAUGCAGGACAAUUGUUCAUUGCAAGAGCGAUGGUCGUAUCAUGGAUAUAUAGCUCACGCCACCAUUAUCAUGAGUUAGCGUCUGCUUGUGCCAUGACGCUUGUUGAAUAUAUGUGCAAACCGCCACCUCUGCGGCCCAAUUUAUAUAAACAUGGUGUGGUUGACUUUCCCGUUCGUGCGGCUCACCGCGCAUGCGAUUGACUCGUCCGUCCGCACCGGCUUAAAACACAAUGGUCGACUCAUCUGUUCGUGCCCGCGGCUGACUCGCCCGCAUCCGUGCCACUUAUGAUGAUGCAGUCAUCUUUACCGUCCGCCCCCGUGGUUUGGUCUACCCCAACAUACUGGAGCUGCACCUAUCUGCACGAGCUGCUUAUUGAAUGCAAGCAGGUCACUGCUCCGGUGGCCCGAUGUUUCUUCUAACAACUCUGGAGCAAAUUAUCAUAUAUCAUCAGUCUCCGUUUUGCGCCGGAUGACUCAAUGGGUAGGUGCACAAGUCGCCGCCACUGGAGUUUGUUUAAACAUCAACAACCAGCUGGGAUGAACCAUUGGCAGAGUUGCUGACACAGCUCAUACGGGAUCAUUUAUAACCCACUGUGGUCACCUCAACCUUCUGUGGAUUCGCAUCGCAUUAUCAACGCCAAUGAUAUACAUCUUAUGCUAUGGUCAAAUAUGGAGAAUCUCAAGACAACUCCUCGAGUCGCCUUGAGACUCGGGGGCUACGAUGACAUGACUCAGUAAAUGACUGACAGUUUAAAGCAAGUCAAGAACUCCGGGUCAGUGGAGGGAAGAUAACCCGGUCCCGGAGGUUGCUGUUAUAUUGAUGAAAAUUUAAAAGGUCGUCAGAAAAUUUCCGGCUCAAAAUGAGGAUUCCGGUUUACAAUCCGGUUCAAGGGAAAUCUGUCUCCCGCAAAGCUUUGAAGCUCUCAAUAUCCGGUUUAAAACUCCGAUUGAAAAAGAAAUUCAUCUCUUGCAAGUUCGAGUUCUCAGAAAAAUUAAAGGUUGCCAAAGAGAACUUGCUGCCAUGAUGCGCGGUGCAAACAUGGGUAUCCUGCCUUAUGGGCUUAUCUUAUUAUGGUCACAUGGGGGCUUCCUGCUCAUUGAGCGAAGUUAUGAUUACCCUUUGAUCCGGCUUAUAGGCCACACACAUAAAAAAAA